Molecule: long non-coding RNA, 541 nt
Organism: Stomoxys calcitrans (stable fly)
Lineage: Eukaryota; Metazoa; Arthropoda; Insecta; Diptera; Muscidae
Exons: 2
Source: RefSeq, a predicted model, not a curated record
AUCAUCCAGCUCGUCUCGAAAGAGAAACAAUCAAAAAUUGUAAAAUUUAGUGAUCUCGCCCUAACAGGCAUAAAAAAAUUUAAAAAUUAAAAAACAUUAAAAAAAAAUAAAUUUAAUUUUAAACAAGCACACUCCUGUUAACAAAAGUGUAUAUACGAAGUCUGGUAAAAAAAAAAUCGGUAUUUUCAAAUUUCGUGAGAUACGUAUGUUCGAUUUUCACUUUUUUCUGUUAUGUUCGUUCACAUGUCUGUCAUAUAAGUUGGUAAUAUCAGCAAUUUCGGAUUUUCAGUUUGUUUUUGACAGAUAAAAAGAAGCGUUUCGAAGACGGAAAAAAUGUCUGAGGGGGACAAGAUAGUCAUUGAAGCAUAAAUAAAUACUUAAAAAAAUUAAAAUAACGGUUAGACCUCGUAUACUUUUUUGGGUCUCAAAUCAUUACUUCGAUGAGUUACAAAUGGAAGGACGAUGUUAGUAUUACUUCGAAGGGGACAAGAUAGUUGAUGAAUAAAAAAAAAUUUUGAAUAAAAUUUUAAAUAACAGUUUA